RNAcentral lists this ribosomal RNA (735 nucleotides) under uncultured Atopobium sp. RNAcentral describes it as "bacterial SSU rRNA". It matches the Rfam family "Bacterial small subunit ribosomal RNA", at positions 28 to 776 of the family's 1533-position model. Lineage: Bacteria; Bacillati; Actinomycetota; Coriobacteriia; Coriobacteriales; Atopobiaceae. The record is from RNAcentral.
GAUGAACGCUGGCGGCGCGCCUAACACAUGCAAGUCGAACGAUUAAAGCACCUUCGGGUGUGUAUAAAGUGGCGAACGGCUGAGUAACACGUGGGCAACCUGCCCCUCUCAUUGGGAUAGCCACGGGAAACCGUGGAUAAUACCGAAUACUUCGAGACUUCCGCAUGGAAGACUCGAGAAAGCUCCGGCGGAGAGGAAUGGGCCCGCGGCCUGUUAGCUUGUUGGUGGGGUAACGGCCUACCAAGGCAAUGAUGGGUAGCUGGGUUGAGAGACCGACCAGCCAGAUUGGGACUGAGACACGGCCCAGACUCCUACGGGAGGCAGCAGUGGGGAAUCUUGCACAAUGGGCGAAAGCCUGAUGCAGCGACGCCGCGUGCGGGAUGAAGGCCUUCGGGUUGUAAACCGCUUUCAGCAGGGACGAGGCGAAAGUGACGGUACCUGCAGAAGAAGCCCCGGCUAACUACGUGCCAGCAGCCGCGGUAAUACGUAGGGGGCAAGCGUUAUCCGGAUUCAUUGGGCGUAAAGCGCUCGUAGGCGGUCUGUUAGGUCGGGAGUUAAAUCCGGGGGCUCAACCCCCGUUCGCUCCCGAUACCGGCAGACUUGAGUUUGGUAGGGGAAGGUGGAGUUCCUAAUGUAGCGGUGGAAUGCGCAGAUAUUAGGAAGAACACCAGUGGCGAAGGCGGCCUUCUGGGCCAUAACUGACGCUGAGGAGCGAAAGCUAGGGGAGCAAACAGG